RNAcentral lists this ribosomal RNA (440 nucleotides) under uncultured bacterium. Its description in RNAcentral is "partial 16S ribosomal RNA". It matches the Rfam family "Bacterial small subunit ribosomal RNA", at positions 338 to 795 of the family's 1533-position model. The record is from RNAcentral.
CCUACGGGGGGCAGCAGUGGGGAAUAUUGCACAAUGGGGGAAACUCUGAUGCAGCGACGCCGCGUGAGUGAAGAAGUACUUCGUUAUGUAAAGCUCUAUCAGCAGGGAAGAAAAUGACGGUACCUGAGUACGAAGCCCCGGCUAACUACGUGCCAGCAGCCGCGGUAAUACGUAGGGGGCAAGCGUUAUCCGGAUUUACUGGGUGUAAAGGGAACGUAGGCGGAAGUGCAAGUCUGGAGUGAAAGGCGGGGGCUCAACCCCGGGACUGCUCUGGAAACUGUACGGCUGGAGUGCAGGAAGGGAAAGUGGAAUUCCUAGUGUAGCGGUGAAAUGCGUAGAUAUUAGGAGGAACACCAGUGGCGAAGGCGGGUUACUGGACUGUAACUGACGUUGAGGCUCGAAAGCGUGGGGAGCAAACAGGAUUAGUUACCCUUGUAGUC